AAUCAACGCUGGCGGCGUGCCUAACACAUGCAAGUCGAACGCGAAAGCCCGCAAGGGUGAGUAGAGUGGCGCACGGGUGAGUAACACGUGGACAACCUGCCUUCGAGUGGGGAAUAACCUUCCGAAAGGAGGGCUAAUACCGCAUAACACCUCGGGACACAAGUUCUGGGGUUGAAAAGAGCAAUUUGCUCGAAGAGGGGUCCGCGCCUGAUUAGCUAGUUGGUGAGGUAACGGCUCACCAAGGCUUCGAUCAGUAGCCGUCCUGAGAGGGAGCACGGCCACACUGGAACUGAGACACGGUCCAGACUCCUACGGGAGGCAGCAGUGGGGAAUUUUGGCAAUGGGCGAAAG
RNAcentral lists this ribosomal RNA (351 nucleotides) under uncultured bacterium. RNAcentral describes it as "bacterial SSU rRNA". It matches the Rfam family "Bacterial small subunit ribosomal RNA", at positions 32 to 381 of the family's 1533-position model. The record is from RNAcentral.